This 264-nucleotide long non-coding RNA is filed under the name Manihot esculenta (cassava). RNAcentral describes it as "long non-coding RNA (MESC_LNC012397)". Lineage: Eukaryota; Viridiplantae; Streptophyta; Magnoliopsida; Malpighiales; Euphorbiaceae. The record is from RNAcentral.
AGGUAAGGGCAGUUUUAGACCCUGUUUAUAUGUUUUCUGAAGGGUGAAAGGAAGGAGAAGCAUGCUUCGGUUAUGCAUGGUAGUUUUUGAUGAUUUAUGCAUGUAUACAUGUUUAUGUGUUAUGUUUGUUUUGUUGUUUGGGGUUAUUAGAUAGUUUUGGACCCCUGUGGACAUAUACAUGAGUAUAUGUGAGCGGAGUAGAGGAGGUAGGCAUGUUUGGAGAGCUUGAAGGGAAGGAGGAGAUGGUUUGCCGUUGAAGCUGAG